UCCAACCAUAAUAAGGGCCAGCCUGGGGCUUGUUAGGUUUUCUUCUCUAUAAAAGCUAUAUCCCCAUGCGUUGGAAACCCUAGUUCAUUAUCCGCAGCUUCCGUUCCCUGGGAACGAUUAGCGUUUUCGAGGCGAGGGAGGGAGGGAACGUCUGUUUUUGUGCAUCAUGAGAGCCAAGUGGAAGAAGAAGCGUAUGAGGAGGCUGAAGAGGAAGCGCAGAAAGAUGAGGCAGAGAUCUAAGUAGUUCUCUCAAACAAAUCUCGUAGUUUUGUGUUCUCCCGUUUUUUUCUUCGUUGGUUUGCUGUCAAAUGGAGUAACCAGGAGAGAUUAGUGCUAGAACUACUGGUGCCUCACUGGUUUCUUUUUCACUUACUUAUUUGGAUCUUAGUUGAAUGUUGUUUUGUCUCCGAAUUAAGAGGUUUUAGAAUAUUCGUUGUUCCGGUUC
This is a long non-coding RNA of Prosopis cineraria, 445 nucleotides long. RefSeq lists it as uncharacterized. The transcript has 2 exons. The record is from RefSeq and is a predicted model, not a curated record. Lineage: Eukaryota; Viridiplantae; Streptophyta; Magnoliopsida; Fabales; Fabaceae.